Molecule: non-coding RNA, 68 nt
Organism: Podarcis lilfordi (Lilford's wall lizard)
Lineage: Eukaryota; Metazoa; Chordata; Lepidosauria; Squamata; Lacertidae
Source: the annotation of a GenBank genome assembly
CUGUAACUCAGAGGUAGAGUUUCUGCCUUGCAUGUAGAAGGUUCCAGGUUCAAUCCUAAGCAUCAGGA